Molecule: ribosomal RNA, 301 nt
Filed under: uncultured Oxalobacteraceae bacterium
Lineage: Bacteria; Pseudomonadati; Pseudomonadota; Betaproteobacteria; Burkholderiales; Oxalobacteraceae
Description: bacterial SSU rRNA
Rfam family: Bacterial small subunit ribosomal RNA
Source: RNAcentral
ACUCCUACGGGAGGCAGCAGUGGGGAAUUUUGGACAAUGGGGGCAACCCUGAUCCAGCAAUGCCGCGUGAGUGAAGAAGGCCUUCGGGUUGUAAAGCUCUUUUGUCAGGGAAGAAAUCGUGGACUCUAACAUAGUCUGCGGAUGACGGUACCUGAAGAAUAAGCACCGGCUAACUACGUGCCAGCAGCCGCGGUAAUACGUAGGGUGCAAGCGUUAAUCGGAAUUACUGGGCGUAAAGCGUGCGCAGGCGGUUUUGUAAGUCUGAUGUGAAAUCCCCGGGCUUAACCUGGGAACUGCAUUG